Molecule: long non-coding RNA, 310 nt
Filed under: Mytilus galloprovincialis (Mediterranean mussel)
Lineage: Eukaryota; Metazoa; Mollusca; Bivalvia; Mytilida; Mytilidae
Source: RNAcentral
AUAUAUUAUGCCUAACGUUAUACAUUAUUAAGGGUAUUAGUCUGAUAUGAGCCAGUCCAUGAGAAAAGGUACACAAACGAAAAUUUUACGAAAUUUUAAAAAGUGUGCAUAAUUAUUGGUAGUAGACUUGUGAUUUAUAAAACACAUUUACUUUUCCUCAUAUCCUUAAGCUGUGAGCUACACGCACCUGCAAGUGUUGAGACCCCCCUUUAGUUUUAUCAAGAUUUUUAAUGACUUAUUUCAUAUAUUUCAAUCAUUUUCAAAGUACAGUUUAAAUGGCUUGAUUUGCCAAUUGAUAAUGUUAACCCCG